CUAGAAUAUGCAAGCCCUUCGGGGCUAGUGCACAGGUGGUGCAUGGCUGUCGUCAGCUCGUGUCGUGAGAUGUUGGGCUAAGUCCCGCAACGAGCGCAACCCCUGUCCUAUGUUGCCAGCGAGUAAUGUCGGGGACUCAUAGGAGACUGCCGGUGACAAAUCGGAGGAAGGUGGGGAUGAUGUCAAGUCAUCAUGCCCCUUAUGCCUAGGGCUACACACGUGCUACAUUGGCCGGUACAGAGGGCUGCAAACCCGCGAGGGGGAGCGAAUCCCAGAAAGCCGGUCCCGGUUCGGAUUGGAGGCUGAAACUCGCCUCCAUGAAGGCGGAGUUGCUAGUAAUCGCGGAUCAGCAAUGCCGCGGUGAAUACGUUCCCGGGCCUUGUACACACCGCCCGUCACACCAUGGAAGCCGGUAACACCCGAAGCCGGUGGCCUAACCCGCAAGGGAGGGAGCCGUCGAAGGUGGGAUUGGUGACUGGGGUG
RNAcentral lists this ribosomal RNA (483 nucleotides) under uncultured soil bacterium. Its description in RNAcentral is "bacterial SSU rRNA". It matches the Rfam family "Bacterial small subunit ribosomal RNA", at positions 1002 to 1482 of the family's 1533-position model. The record is from RNAcentral.